RNAcentral lists this ribosomal RNA (253 nucleotides) under uncultured bacterium. Its description in RNAcentral is "partial 16S ribosomal RNA". It matches the Rfam family "Bacterial small subunit ribosomal RNA", at positions 524 to 776 of the family's 1533-position model. The record is from RNAcentral.
UACGGGGGGAGCAAGCGUUGUUCGGAUUUACUGGGCGUAAAGGGCGCGUAGGCGGCGCAACAAGUCACUUGUGAAAUCUCCGGGCUUAACCCGGAGCGGCCAAGUGAUACUGUCGUGCUAGAGUGCGGAAGGGGCUACUGGAAUUCUCGGUGUAGCGGUGGAAUGCGUAGAUAUCGAGAGGAACACCUGCGGCGAAGGCGGGUAGCUGGGCCGACACUGACGCUGAGGCGCGAAAGCCAGGGGAGCGAACGGA